RNAcentral lists this ribosomal RNA (541 nucleotides) under uncultured archaeon. RNAcentral describes it as "bacterial SSU rRNA". It matches the Rfam family "Archaeal small subunit ribosomal RNA", at positions 457 to 997 of the family's 1478-position model. The record is from RNAcentral.
GUCAGCAGCCGCGGUAACACCGGCGGCCCGAGUGGUGAUCGUGAUUAUUGGGUCUAAAGGGUCCGUAGCCGGUUGGUCAGUCCUCCGGGAAAUCUGAUAGCUCAACUAUUAGGCUUUCGGGGGAUACUGCCAGACUUGGAACCGGGAGAGGUAAGAGGUACUACAGGGGUAGGAGUGAAAUCUUGUAAUCCCUGUGGGACCACCUGUGGCGAAGGCGUCUUACCAGAACGGGUUCGACGGUGAGGGACGAAAGCUGGGGGCACGAACCGGAUUAGAUACCCGGGUAGUCCCAGCCGUAAACGAUGCUCGCUAGGUGUCAGGCAUGGCGCGACCGUGUCUGGUGCCGCAGGGAAGCCGUGAAGCGAGCCACCUGGGAAGUACGGCCGCAAGGCUGAAACUUAAAGGAAUUGGCGGGGGAGCACAACAACGGGCGGAGCCCUGCGGUUUAAUUGGACUCAACGCCGGACAACUCACCGGGGGCGACAGCAAUAUGUAGGCCAAGCUGAAGACUUUGCCUGAAUCGCUGAGAAGUGGUGCAUGG